RNAcentral lists this long non-coding RNA (1395 nucleotides) under Panax ginseng (ginseng). Its description in RNAcentral is "long non-coding RNA (PGIN_LNC011271)". Lineage: Eukaryota; Viridiplantae; Streptophyta; Magnoliopsida; Apiales; Araliaceae. The record is from RNAcentral.
CAGUGUGUACAAAAUAUUGACGACUGAACAAAUCUAUCACCGGCGGUCAUCAAUAAAAAUUAGCUUGGCUUUUCUCCUCUAUUCUCUGGGCGUUGAAAAUGCUACUCUUUUUUCCGGACCAUAAUUUGAGGGCUGGUAUGAAUUGCUCAAAAAGCAAAAAUAAAAGCACGCAGAUGCUAAAUAAAUAAAAAUGUCGGUAAUGAAGAGAAAACACAUCUGGAUCAUCAGGACAACUGGAGCAAUUCUGAAAGAAAGUUUACACACCAGGCUUCACAAUGCCCCGGAGUUUCCACCCACCAAGUCCUGCCAGCGAAAAUGCCUGCAAUUUAAAGUAUGCAUCAAGACAGUGGCAAGUAGGAAAGGCGACAAAAAUAAUUCCCCGCAGACGUAAUGACCAUAUCGCUAAAGUCCCAAUUCAUUACUAAAUCCUAUUUCCAAAGGUAGGCGGUAAAUGCUACUCCAAUUCCAAAGAAACUGACAGAUUUUUAUCAGUGUUUCCCAGUAUAGAAUAGAUGAUCCAUGUUCAGUUGUGCAGCCUCUUGGAUCUCAAGGUGCAAACAAUUGUGUUCUUAACAUCAAGAACUUCUACAUAAGCAGAGUGUGUUCAAACUCAAAUAUCAUCCUCCAACAUACGGUAAUCAAAACCAGUUAAACUUCUUAGAAUCACAAGCCAACAUUGAAGAAAUUGACACGGAAAAAUGACUUAGGAAAUUGAUCAAUCCAUCAUUAACUUAAGUUUUAACCCGGUAGGUGGACUAGUUUUGCACCACCUUGAAUAAAUUUCAUGUUCAACUGCAGCUGAAAAGGAACUGCAUAGGUAAAUGACACAUCGGGGUCUAUUUGGAACAUAUACAUUUAAUGCUCAAGUUGCUUACAGCAGCAGUAAUGGAAAACCAGGUUACUGAAGGAAUGCAUUUGUUACUUUCUACAAAUAUUUGGACUCUUAAAACACAUUUGGAAUAUGAUGAUGUGGGUGUGAGCUUUUAUAUCGACAAGAAUGAGAAGACCAGUAGAAACGUAUUAAAGAUAGUUCAAUAAGCAGGAGAAAUCAGAUUAGUGUAAAAGGUCAUUUUCAAAACUUUUAAUCUCCCAGUCCCUAGUUCAGUAUAUUCUUACUAUUUACGGUUGAAACUCUGGCCGAAUCAACAAGCUCUAAUUUGUUUCUCAUGUUUGGAUAGUACAACUCUACACCCAAUAUGCUCGUUGGUCGCCUGAAACCAAUCAUUUCUCACCCUAUGAAUACCAGCACAAACAUAGUCACAGUUUCUGGGUGUCAAUGGCUUAGCUUUGAAGUUACUGCCUGAGCAAUUUAUUCAGUAUCAGCUGACGUUAUUGGUGCAGGUCCCAUGCAUGAAAAGUAGAAUAAUAAACAAUUGCUAAUACAAUUGAAUGUUG